UGUGUAGGAUAGGUGGGAGGCUUUGAAGUGUGGACGCCAGUCUGCAUGGAGCCGACCUUGAAAUACCACCCUUUAAUGUUUGAUGUUCUAACGUUGACCCGUAAUCCGGGUUGCGGACAGUGUCUGGUGGGUAGUUUGACUGGGGCGGUCUCCUCCUAAAGAGUAACGGAGGAGCACGAAGGUUGGCUAAUCCUGGUCGGACAUCAGGAGGUUAGUGCAAUGGCAUAAGCCAGCUUGACUGCGAGCGUGACGGCGCGAGCAGGUGCGAAAGCAGGUCAUAGUGAUCCGGUGGUUCUGAAUGGAAGGGCCAUCGCUCAACGGAUAAAAGGUACUCCGGGGAUAACAGGCUGAUACCGCCCAAGAGUUCAUAUCGACGGCGGUGUUUGGCACCUCGAUGUCGGCUCAUCACAUCCUGGGGCUGAAGUAGGUCCCAAGGGUAUGGCUGUUCGCCAUUUAAAGUGGUACGCGAGCUGGGUUUAGAACGUCGUGAGACAGUUCGGUCCCUAUCUGCCGUGGGCGCUGGAGAACUGAGGGGGGCUGCUCCUAGUACGAGAGGACCGGAGUGGACGCAUCACUGGUGUUCGGGUUGUCAUGCCAAUGGCACUGCCCGGUAGCUAAAUGCGGAAGAGAUAAGUGCUGAAAGCAUCUAAGCACGAAACUUGCCCCGAGAUGAGUUCUCCCUGACUCCUUGAGAGUCCUGAAGGAACGUUGAAGACGACGACGUUGAUAGGCCGGGUGUGUAAGCGCAGCGAUGCGUUGAGCUAACCGGUACUAAUGAACCGUGAGGCUUAACCUUACAACGCCGAAG
Molecule: ribosomal RNA, 808 nt
Filed under: Escherichia coli
Lineage: Bacteria; Pseudomonadati; Pseudomonadota; Gammaproteobacteria; Enterobacterales; Enterobacteriaceae
Description: partial 23S ribosomal RNA
Rfam family: Bacterial large subunit ribosomal RNA
Source: RNAcentral